AUUGAACGCUGGCGGCAGGCCUAACACAUGCAAGUCGAGCGGAUGAAAGGAGCUUGCUCCUGGAUUCAGCGGCGGACGGGUGAGUAAUGCCUAGGAAUCUGCCUGGUAGUGGGGGAUAACGUCCGGAAACGGGCGCUAAUACCGCAUACGUCCUGAGGGAGAAAGUGGGGGAUCUUCGGACCUCACGCUAUCAGAUGAGCCUAGGUCGGAUUAGCUAGUUGGUGGGGUAAAGGCCUACCAAGGCGACGAUCCGUAACUGGUCUGAAAGGAUGAUCAGUCACACUGGAACUGAGACACGGUCCAGACUCCUACGGGAGGCAGCAGUGGGGAAUAUUGGACAAUGGGCGAAAGCCUGAUCCAGCCAUGCCGCGUGUGUGAAGAAGGUCUUCGGAUUGUAAAGCACUUUAAGUUGGGAGGAAGGGCAGUAAGUUAAUACCUUGCUGUUUUGACGUUACCAACAGAAUAAGCACCGGCUAACUUCGUG
This 484-nucleotide ribosomal RNA is filed under the name uncultured bacterium. Its description in RNAcentral is "partial 16S ribosomal RNA". It matches the Rfam family "Bacterial small subunit ribosomal RNA", at positions 30 to 507 of the family's 1533-position model. The record is from RNAcentral.